This 675-nucleotide ribosomal RNA is filed under the name uncultured bacterium. RNAcentral describes it as "bacterial SSU rRNA". It matches the Rfam family "Bacterial small subunit ribosomal RNA", at positions 65 to 732 of the family's 1533-position model. The record is from RNAcentral.
GACGGCAGCACGGGGGCAACCCUGGUGGCAAGUGGCGAACGGGUGAGUAAUACAUCGGAACGUGCCCAGUCGUGGGGGAUAACGUAGCGAAAGCUACGCUAAUACCGCAUACGAUCUAUGGAUGAAAGCGGGGGACCGUAAGGCCUCGCGCGAUUGGAGCGGCCGAUGGCAGAUUAGGUAGUUGGUGGGGUAAAGGCUCACCAAGCCUGCGAUCUGUAGCUGGUCUGAGAGGACGACCAGCCACACUGGGACUGAGACACGGCCCAGACUCCUACGGGAGGCAGCAGUGGGGAAUUUUGGACAAUGGGCGCAAGCCUGAUCCAGCCAUUCCGCGUGCAGGAUGAAGGCCUUCGGGUUGUAAACUGCUUUUGUACGGAACGAAAAAGCUCUUUCUAAUACAGAGAGUCCAUGACGGUACCGUAAGAAUAAGCACCGGCUAACUACGUGCCAGCAGCCGCGGUAAUACGUAGGGUGCAAGCGUUAAUCGGAAUUACUGGGCGUAAAGCGUGCGCAGGCGGUGAUGUAAGACAGAUGUGAAAAUCCCCGGGCUCAACCUGGGAACUGCAUUUGUGACUGCAUCGCUGGAGUGCGGCAGAGGGGGGAUGGAAUUCCGCGUGUAGCAGUGAAAUGCGUAGAUAUGCGGAGGAACACCGAUGGCGAAAGGCAAUCCCCUUG